GGGCGGGUAACAAAGCGGCUAUGUGGGGGACUGCAGAUCCUCAUACGGGGGUUCAAAUCCCUCCCCGCCCU
This 71-nucleotide transfer RNA is filed under the name Thermoplasmatota archaeon. RNAcentral's name for it is "Candidatus Thermoplasmatota archaeon tRNA-Cys". It matches the Rfam family "tRNA". From Rfam's summary of the family: Transfer RNA (tRNA) molecules are approximately 80 nucleotides in length. The record is from RNAcentral. Lineage: Archaea; Methanobacteriati; Thermoplasmatota.